GAUGAACGCUGGCGGCGUGCCUAACACAUGCAAGUCGAGCGAUUUACUUCGGUAAAGAGCGGCGGACGGGUGAGUAACGCGUGGGUAACCUGCCCUGUACACACGGAUAACAUACCGAAAGGUAUGCUAAUACGAGAUAAUAUGCUUUUAUCGCAUGGUAUAAGUAUCAAAGUUUUUGCGGUACAGGAUGGACCCGCGUCUGAUUAGCUAGUUGGUAAGGUAACGGCUUACCAAGGCGACGAUCAGUAGCCGACCUGAGAGGGUGAUCGGCCACAUUGGAACUGAGACACGGUCCAAACUCCUACGGGAGGCAGCAGUGGGGAAUAUUGCACAAUGGGCGAAAGCCUGAUGCAGCAACGCCGCGUGAGUGAAGAAGGUUUUCGGAUCGUAAAGCUCUGUUGUUGGUGAAGAAGGAUAGAGGCAGUAACUGGGUC
This 434-nucleotide ribosomal RNA is filed under the name uncultured bacterium. Its description in RNAcentral is "bacterial SSU rRNA". It matches the Rfam family "Bacterial small subunit ribosomal RNA", at positions 28 to 471 of the family's 1533-position model. The record is from RNAcentral.